UUCACAAACCCUAACCCCUUAAAACCCCCCUUCUCCCAAAACACAGACACACACAGAGAGGAGAGGAGAGCUUCUGAGAGAGCUGAGGAAGAAGAGAGAGCUCGGAAUCGGAAGGGAAGGAGCUGCACUCUACGCCGUCCAGUUGCUCUGCCACCGUGCCACCGUCGCGCCCAGUUCGCCGCCGUCCUCCACGUCGUUGCCGCCACUGUUAGCAGAGAGGAGAGAAGUCGUGCGUUGAGAGCCAUCGCGUCUUGCCGCCAGGGGUCCAUCGCAGCCAACCCGUCGCGGGUGGUGUCGCCGCCGUCGAAAACAGUACCACAAAGAGGAGAGGAAGAACGAUGUUGGGAGGAAACUGAGUUGCAAGCCACUGACCGAGAAGAAGCUCUGUCUUCGUCACCGCGUUGGAGUCGUCCCCGCCAACACCGCGCACCGCCGUCAGCGCUGCCGUCGAAGGGAGCUCGCUGUCACAGUUCAAUCACCAUCGAGCUUGAAGGGAAAGGCCACUGAUAUUGCCCGACAGCAGCUUCCCUUGCGUUUCCAAUUUCAUUCUUGAAACUUGAUGCCGUCGCCGUCGUCAAUCUGGAUCCUAGCUCGUUGCUGUUGAUGAUGGUAAGCCAAACUGUCAUCCUUGAUGCUGGAGAAGGACAUCGGAGUUGCUAUUCUGGUUCUGAUGCAAUUUGUCCCUGUCCCGGAUCACCGUUGUCUUCCGUUCUGCUCCUGCUUCUAGUUGCGCCGGGUUGAACCAUUGUAACUAUAGAGCCGUGUUUGAUGGUGUUGUUGCGGAGAGUUUUCAGUGUAACUAAUACCACUGCCAUUGUUUCAUUCUCUUAGUACAGGUCAAGUUCUGUUGUGAAUGGUGCAUUUUGGGCUAUACGGCUACGGGAAUAGUCGGAGUCAAUGCCAUUUGAUUUCGGAAUGAGGAAAAAGGAAUUCUUCGACGUGUUUGGUUAGUGGUUUCGCGAGUUUCGAAAGCACAAGAUAGACAAUAGACGCCAUUGAUUCAGUGUUUGAACCUCUCAAAGGGUUCUCCAAAGACAGCGUAAGGCUCAUCAAGCGUUGCCAUAAACCCGAUGACAAAGAAUAUUACAAGGUUACUGUUAGUACUGAAAUCGGAAUUAUGGUUAUGGGAUUCAUUGGCUUCUUCGUCAAGCUCAUCUUCAUUCCCAUUAACAACAUCAUCGUCAGAUCUGGUUAGGAUGAUGAGAGCCACAAUCACACAUAGAGAGUUUUAAAACAAAUGGUAGCAGGAAUUCUUCCCACAUCAACUUCUUGUUAAUCAUAGUUUUUACAUCCUUCAUAUCUUUGGGAACAUUACAAUUUUAAUUUAAAUUUAACAUUUUUUUA
Molecule: non-coding RNA, 1344 nt
Organism: Arachis ipaensis
Lineage: Eukaryota; Viridiplantae; Streptophyta; Magnoliopsida; Fabales; Fabaceae
Source: RefSeq, a predicted model, not a curated record